Molecule: ribosomal RNA, 482 nt
Filed under: uncultured bacterium
Lineage: Bacteria
Description: partial 16S ribosomal RNA
Rfam family: Bacterial small subunit ribosomal RNA
Source: RNAcentral
AAUGAACGUUGGCGGCGUGGAUUAGGCAUGCAAGUCGAGCGAGAACCGUAGCAAUACGGGGACAGCGGCGAAAGGGACAGUAAUGUGUAGGUACCUACCCCCGGGUUCGGGAUAGCUGCGGGAAACUGCAGGUAAUACCGAAUAAUGUCUUCGGACCAAAGGUGUGAUUCCACCUGGGGAGGGGCCUGCAUCCUAUUAGCUUGUUGGUGGGGUAACGGCUUACCAAGGCGAUGAUGGGUAGCGGGUGUGAGAGCAUGACCCGCGUCAUUGGGACUGAGACACUGCCCAGACACCUACGGGUGGCUGCAGUCGAGGAUCUUCGGCAAUGGGCGCAAGCCUGACCGAGCGACGCCGCGUGCGGGAUGAAGGCCUUCGGGUUGUAAACCGCUGUCGUAGAGGAGGAAAUGCAGGAGGGUUCUCCCUUCUGUUUGACCUAUUCUAGGAGGAAGUACGGGCUAAGUUCGUGCCAGCCGCCGUAACAC